This 229-nucleotide ribosomal RNA is filed under the name uncultured bacterium. Its description in RNAcentral is "partial 16S ribosomal RNA". It matches the Rfam family "Bacterial small subunit ribosomal RNA", at positions 568 to 796 of the family's 1533-position model. The record is from RNAcentral.
CGUGUAGGCGGCUUGGUAAGUCGGAUGUGAAAUCCCGGGGCCCAACCCCGGAACUGCAUUCGAAACUGCCUCGCUAGAGUCCCGGAGAGGAAGGCGGAAUUCCCGGUGUAGAGGUGAAAUUCGUAGAUAUCGGGAGGAACACCAGUGGCGAAGGCGGCCUUCUGGACGGUGACUGACGCUGAGACGCGAAAGCGUGGGGAGCAAACAGGAUUAGAUACCCUGGUAGUCC